Molecule: ribosomal RNA, 489 nt
Filed under: uncultured bacterium
Lineage: Bacteria
Description: bacterial SSU rRNA
Rfam family: Bacterial small subunit ribosomal RNA
Source: RNAcentral
GACGAACGCUGGCGGCGCGCCUAACACAUGCAAGUCGAACGAGGUCUUUUAGGAGCUUGCUCCUGGCUGACCUAGUGGCGGACGGGUGAGUAACACGUGAGCAACCUGCCGUAAAGAGGGGGAUAACGUCUGGAAACGGACGCUAAUACCGCAUAACAAGCGGGGAAGGCAUCUUUCCUGCUUCAAAGGAGCAAUCCGCUUUACGAUGGGCUCGCGCCCGAUUAGAUAGUUGGUGGGGUAACGGCCCACCAAGUCGACGAUCGGUAGCCGGACUGAGAGGUUGAACGGCCACAUUGGGACUGAGACACGGCCCAGACUCCUACGGGAGGCAGCAGUGGGGAAUAUUGGGCAAUGGGGGAAACCCUGACCCAGCGACGCCGCGUGAGUGAUGAAGGUUUUCGGAUUGUAAACUCCUGUCUUCGGGGAAGAUAAUGACGGUACCCGAGGAGGAAGCCACGGCUAACUACGUGCCAGCCGCCGCUGUAACAC